RNAcentral lists this long non-coding RNA (773 nucleotides) under Numida meleagris (helmeted guineafowl). RNAcentral's name for it is "lncRNA (ENSNMEG00000008619.1)". The record is from RNAcentral. Lineage: Eukaryota; Metazoa; Chordata; Aves; Galliformes; Numididae.
ACAUAAGCAGUAGGUGUCUGAAGGCUGGAUUUUCAAUACAGGCAUAAAAGAUAGUAUUUAAAUAAAACAGAAAGCAGAAUUUGAAUUGUCUUGGCUCAGGUUGGGACAUCCACUGAAUCUGAUGUUCCUGGUACUGAAGACCCUUGGACCCACCUAGCACGGCUGUAGACUUUGCGGUCUGGCAUACACUGGGAUAUCUGUGGACAGAACUCCCCUGCAUGGUGAAGCUUUUUUGUUGGCUGCACAGGAGAGUGACUGUACAGUUGGCUCUAGUGUGGCUGCACACUAGACUGUCUCUCGAAAGGAGCUGAGCUUCAUUCCUAUCCCUAGGAAAACUUCAGCUAAAGUUAACUUGGUUGGAUGCCAUGUCUGCUUCCUUUCAUUUCAAAGUAGGAAAAGUCAGAAUGAGAACACUAGUUCUUCACUUCAGUUCUGCUGUCAUGAGGAUCGAGUACCUGUAGAGCUCUAUCAUAGGGCUACAGGUAACACUCUUGUAUAAACUGGAGCAAAAAUGUUUGCCACAGUCCAGACCCUGAAAUAAAAUGGACAUUUAGCAAAAGAUGACCAUUUUCAAGGUUACAUCCGGAGUGGGAAGAAAACACCACAGAUUUUGCAUCUUUGUGGCGUAUCUUGAAGAUGUUCCAGCAAAGUCAUCAGUUUGGACUGUGCCCAACAGAUUUGUACAAGGGGAAAGAAUAAGAGGAAAGAAAAUGAACUCCUUAUUCUAUCCCACUCCACCAAAAUGCAAUCACAUCCAUGGAUUUUGUCAGAGG